GACGAACGCUGGCGGCGUGCUUAACACAUGCAAGUCGAACGGAAAGGCCCUGCUUGCAGGGUUCUCGAGUGGCGAACGGGUGAGUAACACGUGGGUGAUCUGCCCUGCACUUCGGGAUAAGCCUGGUAAACUGGGUCUAAUACCGGAUAGGAGCCAUUUUUAGUGUGAUGGUUGGAAAGUUUUUUCGGUGUAGGAUGAGCUCGCGGCCUAUCAGCUUGUUGGUGGGGUAAUGGCCUACCAAGGCGGCGACGGGUAGCCGGCCUGAGAGGGUGGACGGCCACAUUGGGACUGAGAUACGGCCCAGACUCCUACGGGAGGCAGCAGGGGGGAAGAUUGCACAAUGGGCGCAAGCCUGAUGCAGCGACGCCGCGUGGGGGAUGACGGCCUUCGGGUUGUAAACUCCUUUCGCUAGGGACGAAGCUUUUUGUGACGGUACCUAGAUAAGAAGCACCGGCUAACUACGUG
RNAcentral lists this ribosomal RNA (465 nucleotides) under uncultured bacterium. Its description in RNAcentral is "partial 16S ribosomal RNA". It matches the Rfam family "Bacterial small subunit ribosomal RNA", at positions 28 to 507 of the family's 1533-position model. The record is from RNAcentral.